RNAcentral lists this ribosomal RNA (303 nucleotides) under uncultured bacterium. Its description in RNAcentral is "partial 16S ribosomal RNA". It matches the Rfam family "Bacterial small subunit ribosomal RNA", at positions 507 to 809 of the family's 1533-position model. The record is from RNAcentral.
AGCAGUAGCCACGGGAAUACGGAGGGGGCUAGCGUUGUUCGGAAUUACUGGGCGUAAAGCGCACGUAGGCGGCUUGGUAAGUUAGAGGUGAAAGCCUGGAGCUCAACUCCAGAAUUGCCUUUAAGACUGCCGAGCUAGCAGGUGAGAGAGGUAAGUGGAAUUCCGAGUGUAGAGGUGAAAUUCGUAGAUAUUCGGAAGAACACCAGUGGCGAAGGCGGCUUACUGGCUCAUACUGGACGCUGAGGUGCGAAAGCGUGGGGAGCAAACAGGAUUAGAUACCCGCGUAGUCCCUGUCUCUUAUAA